This 249-nucleotide long non-coding RNA is filed under the name Trifolium pratense (red clover). Its description in RNAcentral is "long non-coding RNA (TPRA_LNC006183)". The record is from RNAcentral. Lineage: Eukaryota; Viridiplantae; Streptophyta; Magnoliopsida; Fabales; Fabaceae.
GGAUCCAAAUCCGACAUUUUAUUAGCAAAUGCUAAUAUAAUAAUAUAUAGAUAUCUGUAUACAUUCAAAAGUAAAAACAAAAUGUCAUAAUAGUAAAAUGUAUAAUUGGAAGAAAGUGUAAAACUUAUUUAUCGUAUGACAAUACAUAUCAAUAAAAUUACAUAUUCAUAUGACUUGCAAAUAUAAAUUAUAGGCUAGUAUGACUCACUAGUAUUAGAAGGCUCGGGUACAUGAUUUGCAUCUAAAACU